GCCUGGCCCUAAAUCUUGAUGCUCGAUAUUACCUGAGCAUCCGCCCGAGAACUACGAGCACAAACGCUUAAAACUCUAAGGACUUGGCGGUGCUCCAAACCCACCUAGAGGAGCCUGUUCUGUAAUCGAUGAUCCACGCUAUUACCUGACCAUUCCUUGCACGAAACAGCCUAUAUACCGCCGUCGCCAGCCCACCUCCCCUGACAGCCCAACAGUGGACGCCAUAGCCUAACCCGCUAGUAAGACAGGUCAAGGUAUAGCCCACGGAAUGGAAGCAAUGGGCUACAUUUUCUAGACUAGAACAUACGGAUAAGGGUAUGAAACUGCCCUUGGAAGGCGGAUUUAGCAGUAAAGAGAGACAAUCGAGCCCUCUUUAAGCCGGCUCUGGAGCACGU
RNAcentral lists this ribosomal RNA (395 nucleotides) under Turdus abyssinicus abyssinicus. Its description in RNAcentral is "partial 12S ribosomal RNA". It matches the Rfam family "Bacterial small subunit ribosomal RNA", at positions 794 to 1384 of the family's 1533-position model. The record is from RNAcentral. Lineage: Eukaryota; Metazoa; Chordata; Aves; Passeriformes; Turdidae.